UUUUGGGUAAAGGGUUUCGGAAUUGAUUGCGAGGCAAAACAAAAUGUGCUCUGGCUGAGAAAUAAAAUAAUCAAGAUUUCAGUAGCAGCAUGUUUUGUUUUCCCUCCGCAAUUAAUACUCACAAAUCCUGCCGAGGA
Molecule: microRNA precursor, 137 nt
Filed under: Picea abies (Norway spruce)
Lineage: Eukaryota; Viridiplantae; Streptophyta; Pinopsida; Pinales; Pinaceae
Description: miR11551a stem-loop (pab-MIR11551a)
Source: miRBase by way of RNAcentral